RNAcentral lists this ribosomal RNA (460 nucleotides) under uncultured bacterium. RNAcentral's name for it is "partial 16S ribosomal RNA". It matches the Rfam family "Bacterial small subunit ribosomal RNA", at positions 338 to 795 of the family's 1533-position model. The record is from RNAcentral.
CCUACGUGGGGCUGCAGUGAGGAAUAUUGGUCAAUGGGCGCGAGCCUGAACCAGCCAAGUAGCGUGAAGGAUGACUGCCCUACGGGUUGUAAACUUCUUUUAUAAAGGAAUAAAGUGAGGCACGUGUGCCUUUUUGUAUGUACUUUAUGAAUAAGGAUCGGCUAACUCCGUGCCAGCAGCCGCGGUAAGACGGAGGAUCCGAGCGUUAUCCGGCUUUAUUGGGUUUAAAGGGAGCGUAGAUGGGUUGUUAAGUCAGUUGUGAAAGUUUGCGGCUCAACCGUAAAAUUGCAAUUGAUACUGGCAGUCUUGAGUACAGUUGAGGUAGGCGGAAUUCGUGGUGUAGCGGUGAAAUGCUUAGAUAUCACGAAGAACUCCGAUUGCGAAGGCAGCUUACUAAACUGCCACUGACAUUGAUGCUCGAAAGUGUGGGUAUCAAACAGGAUUAGAUACCCCAGUAGUC